This 359-nucleotide ribosomal RNA is filed under the name uncultured bacterium. Its description in RNAcentral is "bacterial SSU rRNA". It matches the Rfam family "Bacterial small subunit ribosomal RNA", at positions 158 to 507 of the family's 1533-position model. The record is from RNAcentral.
UUACGCUAAUACCGCAUACGAUCUAAGGAUGAAAGCGGGGGACUCGCAAGGGCCUCGCGCGAUUGGAGCGGCCGAUAUCAGAUUAGGUAGUUGGUGGGGUAAAAGCUCACCAAGCCGACGAUCUGUAAGCUGGUCCUGAGAGGACGACCCAGCCACACUGGAACUGAGACACGGUCCAGACUCCUACGGGAGGCAGCAGUGGGGAAUUUUGGACAAUGGGCGCAAGCCUGAUCCAGCAAUGCCGCGUGCAGGAUGAAGGCCUUCGGGUUGUAAACUGCUUUUGUACGGAACGAAACGGUCUGCUUUAAUACAGUGGGCUAAUGACGGUACCGUAAGAAUAAGCACCGGCUAACUACGUG